RNAcentral lists this ribosomal RNA (253 nucleotides) under uncultured bacterium. RNAcentral's name for it is "partial 16S ribosomal RNA". It matches the Rfam family "Bacterial small subunit ribosomal RNA", at positions 524 to 776 of the family's 1533-position model. The record is from RNAcentral.
UACGGAGGGGGCUAGCGUUGUUCGGAAUUACUGGGCGUAAAGCGCGCGUAGGCGGACCCGCAAGUCGGACGUGAAAUCCCUGAGCUCAACUCAGGAACUGCAUCCGAAACUGCGGGUCUGGAGUGGUGGAGAGGGAAGCAGAAUUCCUGGUGUAGAGGUGAAAUUCGUAGAUAUCAGGAGGAACACCGGUGGCGAAGGCGGCUUCCUGGACACUUACUGACGCUGAGACGCGAAAGCGUGGGGAGCAAACAGG